GUGAAUAUUUCGAGAAAUAAUUGGAACUGGAUUAAAAGGGGUUUUGAAUAAGAAAGUGUGUUUCUUUCCCAAUAAUUCCAUACCAAAACGGUUUUUGUACCUCAAAAACUCUCUGAGUUAGAGGCAAUUUUGUCCCUCAAGGUCCAAGACCGACCAAAUUUGAGCUUUUCAUACUCAUAUUGCGACACCAAGAUUUUUAGGUAUCACUGGACAUUUUUGGGUAUAACUUGGGAACCACUGGGAAUAUUUUCAUGAUUUUUUCACAGUAAGGAGUGAGAUUCCUGAGGAUGGAUUUGAGGGUAAAAACGUCGUUCUAAACAAAA
Long non-coding RNA from Anthonomus grandis grandis, 323 nucleotides. RefSeq lists it as uncharacterized. The transcript is spliced from 3 exons. Lineage: Eukaryota; Metazoa; Arthropoda; Insecta; Coleoptera; Curculionidae. The record is from RefSeq and is a predicted model, not a curated record.